Molecule: small RNA, 153 nt
Filed under: Modestobacter caceresii
Lineage: Bacteria; Bacillati; Actinomycetota; Actinomycetes; Geodermatophilales; Geodermatophilaceae
Also listed under: 1 other name
Description: c-di-AMP riboswitch aptamer (ydaO/yuaA leader)
Rfam family: c-di-AMP riboswitch aptamer (ydaO/yuaA leader)
About the family: This family represents a conserved RNA structure found upstream of the ydaO and yuaA genes in Bacillus subtilis and related genes in other bacteria. The ydaO/yuaA element is thought to act as a genetic "off" switch for the ydaO and yuaA genes in its native state.
Source: Rfam by way of RNAcentral
ACCGGGCAACCGCCGCAACGUCGCCGCGAACGCCCGGACCGGGGACCCACCGCAGUUCUGGGGUGAAGCGCAACGGCACGCGAGUGCCGGAGCGCCGGGCGAGUUCCCCGCCCGAACCCGUCAGCUAACUCGGUAGGCGGUCGAGGAGAACAA